Molecule: ribosomal RNA, 253 nt
Filed under: uncultured bacterium
Lineage: Bacteria
Description: partial 16S ribosomal RNA
Rfam family: Bacterial small subunit ribosomal RNA
Source: RNAcentral
UACGAAGGGGGCUAGCGUUGCUCGGAAUCACUGGGCGUAAAGCGCACGUAGGCGGAUCCUUAAGUCGGGGGUGAAAUCCUGGAGCUCAACUCCAGAACUGCCUUCGAUACUGAGGAUCUCGAGUCCGGGAGAGGUGAGUGGAACUGCGAGUGUAGAGGUGAAAUUCGUAGAUAUUCGGAAGAACACCAGUGGCGAAGGCGACUCACUGGACACAUAUUGACGCUGAGGUGCGAAAGCGUGGGGAGCAAACAGG